UCCGGUUUGUCACCGGCAGUCUCAUUAGAGUGCCCAACUGAAUGUAGCAACUAAUGACAAGGGUUGCGCUCGUUGCGGGACUUAACCCAACAUCUCACGACACGAGCUGACGACAGCCAUGCAGCACCUGUGUUCCCGUUCCCUUUCGGGCACACCCGGGUUUCCCCAGGCUUCGGGACAUGUCAAGGGUAGGUAAGGUUUUUCGCGUUGCAUCGAAUUAAUCCACAUAAUCCACCGCUUGUGCGGGCCCCCGUCAAUUCCUUUGAGUUUCAAACUUGCGUUCGUACUCCCCAGGUGGGAUACUUAUCACUUUCGCUUAGCCACUCAAGAUUGCUCUCAAACAGCUAGUAUCCAUCGUUUACGGCGUGGACUAC
Molecule: unclassified non-coding RNA, 374 nt
Filed under: uncultured bacterium
Lineage: Bacteria
Description: contains 16S-23S intergenic spacer region
Source: RNAcentral